RNAcentral lists this ribosomal RNA (464 nucleotides) under uncultured bacterium. RNAcentral describes it as "partial 16S ribosomal RNA". It matches the Rfam family "Bacterial small subunit ribosomal RNA", at positions 29 to 507 of the family's 1533-position model. The record is from RNAcentral.
ACGAACGCUGGCGGCGUGCUUAACACAUGCAAGUCGAACGGAAAGGCCCCUUUGGGGGUACUCGAGUGGCGAACGGGUGAGUAACACGUGAGUAACCUGCCCUUGACUUCGGGAUAACUUCAGGAAACUGGGGCUAAUACCGGAUAGGAAUCCUUGCUGCAUGGUGGGGGUUGGAAAGCUUCGGCGGUUUUGGAUGGACUCGCGGCUUAUCAGCUUGUUGGUGGGGUAGUGGCUUACCAAGGCUUUGACGGGUAGCCGGCCUGAGAGGGCGACCGGCCACAUUGGGACUGAGAUACGGCCCAGACUCCUACGGGAGGCAGCAGUGGGGAAUAUUGCACAAUGGGCGGAAGCCUGAUGCAGCAUCGCCGCGUGCGGGAUGACGGCCUUCGGGUUGUAAACCGCUUUCAGCAGGGGCGAAGCUUGUGGUGACGGUACCUGCAGAAGAAGCACCGGCUAACUACGUG